This 493-nucleotide ribosomal RNA is filed under the name uncultured bacterium. RNAcentral's name for it is "partial 16S ribosomal RNA". It matches the Rfam family "Bacterial small subunit ribosomal RNA", at positions 29 to 523 of the family's 1533-position model. The record is from RNAcentral.
AACGAACGCUGGCGGCAUGCCUUACACAUGCAAGUCGAACGGUAACAGGUUAAGCUGACGAGUGGCGAACGGGUGAGUAAUUUAUCGGAACGUGCCCAGUCGUGGGGGAUAACUGCUCGAAAGAGCAGCUAAUACCGCAUACGACCUGAGGGUGAAAGCGGGGGAUCGCAAGACCUCGCGCGAUUGGAGCGGCCGAUAUCAGAUUAGGUAGUUGGUGGGGUAAGAGCCCACCAAGCCAACGAUCUGUAGCUGGUCUGAGAGGACGACCAGGCACACUGGGACUGAGACACGGCCCAGACUCCUGCGGGAGGAAGCAGUGGGGAAUUUUGGACAAUGGGCGCAAGCCUGAUCCAGCCAUGCCGCGUGCGGGAAGAAGGCCUCCGGGUUGUAAACCGCUUUUGUCAGGGAAGAAAAGGUUCUGGUUAAUACCUGGGACUCAUGACGGUACCUGAAGAAUAAGCACCGGCUAACUACGUGCCAGCCGCCGCCGUAA